AACGAACGCUGACGGCAUGCCUAACACAUGCAAGUCGAACGAGACCUUCGGGUCUAGUGGCGCACGGGUGCGUAACGCGUGGGAACCUGCCCUUAGGUUCGGAAUAACUCCCCGAAAGGGGUGCUAAUACCGGAUAAUGUCUUCGGACCAAAGAUUUGUCGCCUUUGGAUGGGCCCGCGUUGGAUUAGCUAGUUGGUAGGGUAAAAGCCUACCAAGGCGACGAUCCAUAGCUGGUCUGAGAGGAUGAUCAGCCACACUGGGACUGAGACACGGCCCAGACUCCUACGGGAGGCAGCAGUGGGGAAUAUUGGACAAUGGGCGAAAGCCUGAUCCAGCAAUGCCGCGUGAGUGAUGAAGGCCUUAGGGUUGUAAAGCUCUUUUACCCGGGAUGAUAAUGACAGUACCGGGAGAAUAAGCUCCGGCUAACUCCGUG
This 433-nucleotide ribosomal RNA is filed under the name uncultured bacterium. RNAcentral's name for it is "partial 16S ribosomal RNA". It matches the Rfam family "Bacterial small subunit ribosomal RNA", at positions 29 to 507 of the family's 1533-position model. The record is from RNAcentral.